UACGUAGGGCGCAAGCGUUGUCCGGAAUUAUUGGGCGUAAAGAGCUCGUAGGCGGUUUGUCGCGUCUGCUGUGAAAACCUAAGUCUCAACCUUGGGCUUGCAGUGGGUACGGGCAGACUAGAGUGCGGUAGGGGUGACUGGAAUUCCUGGUGUAGCGGUGGAAUGCGCAGAUAUCAGGAGGAACACCAAUGGCGAAGGCAGCUUGCUGGGACGGUACUGACGCUGAGGCGCGAAAGCGUGGGGAGCAAACAGG
Molecule: ribosomal RNA, 253 nt
Filed under: uncultured bacterium
Lineage: Bacteria
Description: partial 16S ribosomal RNA
Rfam family: Bacterial small subunit ribosomal RNA
Source: RNAcentral